CCAAACUGUGAGUAUCCUUUUUUCUUCUUUCCUUCAGCUCCCUCUUCAAUUAGAGAAAGGACAAAAUUGUGGGGGAAGACCUUUUGGAAGAACAAAGGUAAUAAAAACAUUUGGUUGACAUACAGGUAAACGCCUGGGUUGGACACUUUGGAGAACCACCUAGGUAAUGAGUUUUUUGGAUCUAAGGGAGGCUUUGAAGGGAGUUUAGAAAGUUGGCUUUUCAAGGAGUUUCUGAGACACCAGGGGUGAUUCGGGGCCCAAGUAAGAGAAAAUCCAUUAUUUAUGGGGGCAAGAUACUCAGGUUUAUUUCAAGGUUGCCAAGACAAUUCAUUUGGUGGAACAGGAGCUAGCUUUCAGGGAAGAAUCCUCUAGAAGAAUGAAGCUCCCCUCUUUAUCUCUCACAUGCGUCUUUGGAGAAUCUGAACAAGGUGGGAAGGAUUCAGGCAAGAUAUGAGAGUAACUAUAAGCAUCCUCUAUGGCAGCUACCGCUAACUUUAAUUCUACCUUUCUUCUGAGUCUUAACAGAUCCAAACCAACAAGUAUGCCUUGCAGUGAGGAGAAUCUUUAGUAAAUUGACUUUUAAAAAUAGAAAUGUUUUCCUUUACAUCUUUCUCUGUAUGAACUGAGAUGUCACGUACAGGUAACACUCAUCUUCUACUGUUCUAUAAUUUUAUCUUUCCAAUUUGAAGUUUUGCUACAGUCUGAGAAUAGAGUAGAAAGACAGCCAAUAUACUGAAGAAGUAUUAAAGGCAAACAUGGAGUUAGUGAAAGGGACAGACUGAAGGGUGGAAUAAGAACUGUGGUCACAGAUGAACAGACCCCUUUUCUUUACAUAUGCAGCACAUGCACAUACAUCUGGGGUGAUCUAAACCCCUUUUGGUUGCACACCCUGCAAAUCAUAUACACACCCCUAUUAUUGCAUCUAUUAUAUUCAUGUACUUGACUUAGUUGUUUGUUUCUCUCAUUAGACCACAAACUGUCCUGGGAAGGGACCCUCUCUUAAUCAUCUUUGAACAACAGCUAGUGACACGCCUGUAGAUGUUUAAUAAACUUUUGUUGAAUGGAAAUAGUCCUGCAUAAAAAUUAGACAAUUUUUGGGGUGCCUAGGUGGCUCAGUCAGUUGAGCGUCUGACUUCGGCUGAGGUCAUCAUCUCGCAGUUUGUGGGUUUGAGCCUGGCGUUGGGCUCUGUGUUGACAGCUCAAAGUCUGGAGCCUGUUUCAGAUUCUGUGUCUCCCUCUCUCUCUGUCCCUCUCCUGCUUGUAUUCUGUCUGUCUGUCUGUCUCUCUGUCAACAAUAAAUAAACAUUAAAAGGGGUGCUUUGAUGGCUCAGUUGGUUAAGCGUCCAACUUCGACUCAGGUCAUUAUCUCACAUUUCAUGGGUUUGAGCCCGGCGUUAGGUUCUGUGCUGACAGCUCAGAGCCUGGAGCCUACUUCAGAUUCUGUGUCUCCCUCUCUCUCUGCUCGUCCCCCAUUCAUGCUCUUUCUCUGUUUCUCAAAAAUAUAUAAAUGCUAAAAUUUUUUUAAGUGAAUAAACAUUAAAUAAUUUUUUUAAAUCAAAAAUAUUAGACAAUUUUUGACCCGGAAAGAAAGAUUAGACUAAAAUAUUUAUACAUUCAUCAAAUAUUUUUUGAGCAACUGCUACACUUCUGUGUCUGAGACAUCUUGCUCUGUUCUGGGAGUAAAUACAAAAACGUAAGAUACAAUGAGAACAAUUUCGACCUGGUGAUAAAGACCCACAGUGAGGUGACUAUUACGAUAUAGUGAGACAGGUAUGGGAUCUCAGAGGGGUCAGUUCACUUAUCUUCUUGGUAUGACUUGGUAGGGGCAUGCUGGUGGUAGGGGGAGAGAGUGAGAAAGUCAGGGAUGAUUUAGUAGAGAAAAUGAUAAAGAUGUGAGGUGGUUACCCAGGAACAUAUACAUGAAAUAUUAAAAUCUUACUGGGUGGCAAAAUAGUAUUAACUGCCAAAAUACUUAAAAUGUACACAGACUUUGACCCGGAAAUUCUCCUAUGACGGUAGUCCUAAAGGGCAUUACCAGAGACCUGACCAAAGAUUUGGUUAGAAUUUUAUUUACAGCAUUAAUUGAGAUGGAAGAAAUAUCUGAAAUACUUCUAAAAGGAGUGUUUAAGAAAAAAUUAUUCAUAUGGUGAAAAUUAUGUAGCUAGUAAUAAUCAUGGGGUUUUCCACUGAUUUAAAGGAUCCUCUGGAUAUGCUGCUGAUAUAAAAAGUAGAUGUACUGGGGCACCUGGGUGGUUCAGUCCAUUAAGCGUCCAACUUGAUUUUGGCUGGGGUCAUGAUCUUGGGUCAUGGUCUCAUGGCUUCAUGGGUUCGAGCCCUUCUUUGGGCUCUGUGUUGAAAACGCCAAGUCUGCUUAGGGUUCUCUUCCUCCUCUCUGUCUGCCCCUCCCUUGUUUGUAUGCACUCACUCUCUCUUUCUCUCUCCCUCUCUCUCAAAAUAAAUAUUUAAAAAGUAAAUGUAAAAGUAGGUGUACUAACUGUGCAUGUAAGGUGAUCCAAUUUUUGUAAAUGACAUGCCAAUGCCAUGAAUAUAUUAUUUUUAAGGAAAGAGUAGAACGCAUAGAGAGAAUGUAUCACUAUUUGGGAAACCACAAAUACACUCUGCUCCAGACAUCACUGCUUCCAAUGCAGCUGCUAUCCUGGCCAUGCUCAGUCCUGGUCUCCUGCACCCACCACCCCUCAAAGCUUCCUUUUUCCCCAAGGUGGGAAGCAGCAACAGGAGCAGUAUGCUCCUACUCCUUCUCCUCCUCCUCCCCGCCCCCCUUCCUCUCCUCCCCUGCCUUCUCCACCUACCCCCUCCCUGUCCCCUGGUGAGCGCACAAGGCCUCGACCAGCUGCUGCCUGCUGGUCAACUCCAAGAAGGUCCCUCCAAGUUCCUGGUGCAGCUCGAGGAGGAGCCUCUGAGGCAGACCCAGAAUAAGGUGCUGGGGAGACCCGGCUUCAGUGGCUGCAGCGCCACCAUGUAGCACACUUGGACCUCAAGCCCUUCACAUGUGGCUCCUGUGGCAAGCACUUCAAGAGCUCCAGCCACCUGUCACGUAAUCGCACCACAAACUGUGCCAGGGGUGGCUGGCUACACGUACGUCCCCCAGAAGCAUGUGUGGCUUCCAGGACAACUUGAGCCUGGCGCAGCACAUGUGCUUCCACAAAGUUCGAGAUCUGGCCUGCUCUGCUCCUCCCUGGGCCACCAUGUUUGUCUCACACAAAUUUACCGGCUUUGCAGAGGUUACCUGCUUCCCCUGGGUAACCCAGGUACCCAUCUACAUGAUGAGAAAGGCAUCAUUCCUUCCUUCCCCCUGCUUCUUACUAUGCUACACGGACAAAGUUGCUGCCCUCUGGGGGCCUGCUGAAUGGGCGCCCGUGGAAUGCCUGGGAGCCAGUUAGAACUGUGUUCUGGUCCAGCCUCAACGUGGGAGCCUUUGCAAGCAGCAAAACCUUGGUUUCCUGCGCUCCCAAGUGGUGAAACAUUGUUUUGUGGGUAAAAGAGAUGACAAAAGAGCAGGGGCACUGCCUGGUUCAUGUUUGUAACUCCCUCUUCCACCCAGUACCCUCACCCUUUGUUCAAUAAACAUUCUGCAUUUGGAAACAAAAACAAAAAAAAAAAACAUACAAACAAACAAUUCUGCUGGAAUUCGGGGGAGACAGAACUGAAGGUAUGGUUGAAUGGGGCCUGCCUGUGAGGGGAUCUUCCACAACAUGCUUGAAGAUGUUGGAGAA
This 3734-nucleotide long non-coding RNA is filed under the name Lynx pardinus (Iberian lynx). The record is from RNAcentral. Lineage: Eukaryota; Metazoa; Chordata; Mammalia; Carnivora; Felidae.